This 253-nucleotide ribosomal RNA is filed under the name uncultured bacterium. Its description in RNAcentral is "partial 16S ribosomal RNA". It matches the Rfam family "Bacterial small subunit ribosomal RNA", at positions 524 to 776 of the family's 1533-position model. The record is from RNAcentral.
UACGGAGGGGGCUAGCGUUGUUCGGAAUUACUGGGCGUAAAGCGCACGUAGGCGGCUUUGUAAGUUAGAGGUGAAAGCCCAGGGCUCAACCCUGGAAUAGCCUUCGAUACUGGGUAUCUUGAGUUCGGGAGAGGUGAGUGGAACUCCGAGUGUAGAGGUGAAAUUCGUAGAUAUUCGGAAGAACACCAGUGGCGAAGGCGACUCACUGGCCCGAUACUGACGCUGAGGCGCGAAAGCGUGGGGAGCAAACAGG